UACAGAGGGGGCAAGCGUUAUUCGGAAUUAUUGGGCGUAAAGAGCUCGUAGGCGGUCUGUCGCGUCGGAUGUGAAAAUCCAGGGCUUAACCCUGGACCUGCAUUCGAUACGGGCAGACUAGAGUUCGGUAGGGGAGACUGGAAUUCCUGGUGUAGCGGUGAAAUGCGCAGAUAUCAGGAGGAACACCGGUGGCGAAGGCGGGUCUCUGGGCCGAUACUGACGCUGAGGAGCGAAAGCGUGGGGAGCGAACAGG
RNAcentral lists this ribosomal RNA (253 nucleotides) under uncultured bacterium. Its description in RNAcentral is "partial 16S ribosomal RNA". It matches the Rfam family "Bacterial small subunit ribosomal RNA", at positions 524 to 776 of the family's 1533-position model. The record is from RNAcentral.